UACGUAGGGGGCAAGCGUUGUCCGGAAUUAUUGGGCGUAAAGCGCGCGCAGGCGGUUGAUUAAGUUUGGUGUUUAAGCCCGGGGCUCAACCCCCGGUUCGCACUGAAAACUGAUCGACUUGAGUGUAGGAGAGGAAAGUGGAAUUCCACGUGUAGCGGUGAAAUGCGUAGAGAUGUGGAGGAACACCAGUGGCGAAGGCGACUUUCUGGCCUAUAACUGACGCUGAGGCGCGAAAGCGUGGGGAGCAAACAGGG
RNAcentral lists this ribosomal RNA (254 nucleotides) under uncultured bacterium. RNAcentral's name for it is "partial 16S ribosomal RNA". It matches the Rfam family "Bacterial small subunit ribosomal RNA", at positions 524 to 777 of the family's 1533-position model. The record is from RNAcentral.